RNAcentral lists this ribosomal RNA (1281 nucleotides) under Myriopholis longicauda. RNAcentral's name for it is "partial 16S ribosomal RNA". The stretch from base 692 to 1281 matches the Rfam family "Archaeal large subunit ribosomal RNA", at positions 1423 to 2663 of the family's 2987-position model. Lineage: Eukaryota; Metazoa; Chordata; Lepidosauria; Squamata; Leptotyphlopidae. The record is from RNAcentral.
CGCCCGCACUAGCCCUGUCUUUCCCGCCUUCCCUUAAACAAACCAUUUGCCAUGGCCAGUAGAUGCGAUCGACCGCCACGUAUGACGCCAUAGAGAUAGUACCGCAAGGGAUUUCCCCGCCAAGCGCCGCACAGCAGAGCCUAGCCCUCGUACCUCUUGCAUCAUGGUUUAGCAAGCUCCCGGCCGCUAGACGACUCGUCGCGCCCUGACCCGAACCCGAGUGAGCUACUUCUGAGCCACUGCCCGUCUCUGUAGCAAAAGAGUGGGUCGAUUUAGAAGUAGCGGCGACAAACCUACCGAACCCGGUAAUAGCUGGCUGCUUAGCAAUGAAUUUUAGUUCGGCUCUAACAACCCCACACACUAAUAUGUCAGUUAGAGUUACUCGUUGACGGUACAGCCUCAACGAGCUGGGCUACAACCCACCCCCGAGGGUAAGUCUCUUCUUCACCAACUGUAGGCUUUAAAGCUGCCACCCACAGAAACAGCGUCGAAGCGAUCACUCCAAAAAUCCCUAAUCACGUAACCAACCCCGGCAAGAAUAAAAGCUAUUCUACAACUGUAGACGCACCAAUGCUAAAACUAAUAAUAAGAAAUAUCUCUAUGCGCCUCCCCCAGUCAGGAAUAAACCCUCGCUGACCCACAUCGGCUAAAUCCCCACACCACACUAUUCCUCACACCACUUUUUUCCCCGUGACACCAACACCGGGGCGCAACAAAGAAAGAUGAAAAGCCAUAAAAGGAACUCGGCAAACCCGGACCCCAACUGUUUACCAAAAACAUAACCCUUAGCCAUACAAGUAUUAAAGGCAUCGCCUGCCCAGUGAAAAUUCUUUAACGGCCGCGGUACCCUAACCGUGCAAAGGUAGCAUAAUCACUUGCCUAUUAAUUGUAGGCUGGCAUCAACGGCUGCAUGAGGGCCCCCCUGUCUCUUAUAGCCCAUCAAUGAACCUGAUCCCUCAGUCCAAAAGCUGAGAUGUCCUCAUAAGACGAGAAGACCCUGUGAAACUUCAAUCAUCCCCUUUAAACUAAUCAGGGGUACUUUCCGUUGGGGCGACGUCGGGGCAAAACUAAACCCCCGAGAAACGUGAUACUCACAGAUAGGCUGACAAGCCCAUUACGACCCAGUAAAACCUGAUCAACGAAAUAAGCUACUCCAGGGAUAACAGCGCCAUCUUCUUCAAGAGCCCAUAUCAAAAAGAAGGUUUACGACCUCGAUGUUGGAUCAGGGCACCCAAGUGGCGCAGCCACUACUAACGGUUCGUUUGUUCAACGAUUAACAGC